ACUUCAGGUUUAGUCAAUCUAUAAUGACUAAGGAAGGUCAGGUAGGACUUGGGAAGUGAAUUCAAAAUGGCAUCCUUGCCCAAUUGCUCGUACAAAGGAAAGCCAAGUUUACUUAGGCGAUCGAUUUGUUCGACCAUGUACAGUACAUGAUCGGUGACCGAUGCCCCUUCCCUCAUGCGGGCAUUGAAUAUAGCGCAGGAGGUCUUAUGUCGUUCAACAUCAUCAGGUGUGCCGAAAGACUCCUUCAACAUUUGAAGGAUUUC
This 263-nucleotide long non-coding RNA is filed under the name Phoenix dactylifera (date palm). RNAcentral describes it as "long non-coding RNA (PDAC_LNC010786)". The record is from RNAcentral. Lineage: Eukaryota; Viridiplantae; Streptophyta; Magnoliopsida; Arecales; Arecaceae.